CAUUGAUGACAUCCUACAACUGUCAUCCGCCCGGGUACUACGAGCAUCAGCUUAAAACCCAAAGGACUUGGCGGUGCUUUAGACCCACCUAGAGGAGCCUGUUCUAGAACCGAUAACCCCCGUUCAACCUCACCCUUCCUUGUUUUCCCCGCCUAUAUACCACCGUCGUCAGCUUACCCUGUGAAGGUUAAAACAGUAAGCAAAAUUGGCAUAGCCCAAAACGUCAGGUCGAGGUGUAGCGUAUGGAAGGGGAAGAAAUGGGCUACAUUCCCUAAUUCAGCGCAUACGGACGACACACUGAAAUACGUAUCCGAAGGAGGAUUUAGCAGUAAGCAGAAAAUAGAGUGUUCCGCUGAAACCGGCCCUGAAGCGCGC
RNAcentral lists this ribosomal RNA (375 nucleotides) under Zebrasoma scopas (twotone tang). Its description in RNAcentral is "partial 12S ribosomal RNA". It matches the Rfam family "Bacterial small subunit ribosomal RNA", at positions 801 to 1384 of the family's 1533-position model. RNAcentral also lists the same sequence under 1 other name. Lineage: Eukaryota; Metazoa; Chordata; Actinopteri; Acanthuriformes; Acanthuridae. The record is from RNAcentral.